GCCUCCUUGGUCCAACGGACACGACAUCGCCCUACGAAGGCGAGGAUCCAGGUUCGAUUCCUGGAGGGGGCA
RNAcentral lists this transfer RNA (72 nucleotides) under Nocardioides sp. Root614. It matches the Rfam family "tRNA". From Rfam's summary of the family: Transfer RNA (tRNA) molecules are approximately 80 nucleotides in length. The record is from Rfam by way of RNAcentral. RNAcentral also lists the same sequence under 2 other names. Lineage: Bacteria; Bacillati; Actinomycetota; Actinomycetes; Propionibacteriales; Nocardioidaceae.